RNAcentral lists this ribosomal RNA (2622 nucleotides) under human oral metagenome. RNAcentral's name for it is "bacterial LSU rRNA". It matches the Rfam family "Bacterial large subunit ribosomal RNA". The record is from RNAcentral.
UUAAGCGACUAAGCGUACACGGUGGAUGCCCUGGCAGUCAGAGGCGAUGAAGGACGUGCUAAUCUGCGAUAAGCGUCGGUGAGGUGAUAUGAACCGUUAUAACCGGCGAUUUCCGAAUGGGGAAACCCAGUGUGUUUCGACACACUAUCAUUAACUGAAUCCAUAGGUUAAUGAGGCGAACCGGGGGAACUGAAACAUCUAAGUACCCCGAGGAAAAGAAAUCAACCGAGAUUCCCCCAGUAGCGGCGAGCGAACGGGGAGGAGCCCAGAGCCUGAAUCAGUGUGUGUGUUAGUGGAAGCGUCUGGAAAGGCGUGCGAUACAGGGUGACAGCCCCGUACACAAAAAUGCACAUAUUGUGAGCUCGAUGAGUAGGGCGGGACACGUGGUAUCCUGUCUGAAUAUGGGGGGACCAUCCUCCAAGGCUAAAUACUCCUGACUGACCGAUAGUGAACCAGUACCGUGAGGGAAAGGCGAAAAGAACCCCGGCGAGGGGAGUGAAAAAGAACCUGAAACCGUGUACGUACAAGCAGUGGGAGCCUCUUAAUGGGGUGACUGCGUACCUUUUGUAUAAUGGGUCAGCGACUUAUAUUCUGUAGCAAGGUUAACCGAAUAGGGGAGCCGAAGGGAAACCGAGUCUUAACUGGGCGUUAAGUUGCAGGGUAUAGACCCGAAACCCGGUGAUCUAGCCAUGGGCAGGUUGAAGGUUGGGUAACACUAACUGGAGGACCGAACCGACUAAUGUUGAAAAAUUAGCGGAUGACUUGUGGCUGGGGGUGAAAGGCCAAUCAAACCGGGAGAUAGCUGGUUCUCCCCGAAAGCUAUUUAGGUAGCGCCUCGUGAAUUCAUCUCCGGGGGUAGAGCACUGUUUCGGCAAGGGGGUCAUCCCGACUUACCAACCCGAUGCAAACUGCGAAUACCGGAGAAUGUUAUCACGGGAGACACACGGCGGGUGCUAACGUCCGUCGUGAAGAGGGAAACAACCCAGACCGCCAGCUAAGGUCCCAAAGUCAUGGUUAAGUGGGAAACGAUGUGGGAAGGCCCAGACAGCCAGGAUGUUGGCUUAGAAGCAGCCAUCAUUUAAAGAAAGCGUAAUAGCUCACUGGUCGAGUCGGCCUGCGCGGAAGAUGUAACGGGGCUAAACCAUGCACCGAAGCUGCGGCAGCGACACUAUGUGUUGUUGGGUAGGGGAGCGUUCUGUAAGCCUGUGAAGGUGGCCUGUGAGGGUUGCUGGAGGUAUCAGAAGUGCGAAUGCUGACAUAAGUAACGAUAAAGCGGGUGAAAAGCCCGCUCGCCGGAAGACCAAGGGUUCCUGUCCAACGUUAAUCGGGGCAGGGUGAGUCGACCCCUAAGGCGAGGCCGAAAGGCGUAGUCGAUGGGAAACAGGUUAAUAUUCCUGUACUUGGUGUUACUGCGAAGGGGGGACGGAGAAGGCUAUGUUGGCCGGGCGACGGUUGUCCCGGUUUAAGCGUGUAGGCUGGUUUUCCAGGCAAAUCCGGAAAACCAAGGCUGAGGCGUGAUGACGAGGCACUACGGUGCUGAAGCGACAAAUGCCCUGCUUCCAGGAAAAGCCUCUAAGCAUCAGGUAACAUCAAAUCGUACCCCAAACCGACACAGGUGGUCAGGUAGAGAAUACCAAGGCGCUUGAGAGAACUCGGGUGAAGGAACUAGGCAAAAUGGUGCCGUAACUUCGGGAGAAGGCACGCUGAUAUGUAGGUGAAGCGACUUGCUCGUGGAGCUGAAAUCAGUCGAAGAUACCAGCUGGCUGCAACUGUUUAUUAAAAACACAGCACUGUGCAAACACGAAAGUGGACGUAUACGGUGUGACGCCUGCCCGGUGCCGGAAGGUUAAUUGAUGGGGUUAGCGGUAACGCGAAGCUCUUGAUCGAAGCCCCGGUAAACGGCGGCCGUAACUAUAACGGUCCUAAGGUAGCGAAAUUCCUUGUCGGGUAAGUUCCGACCUGCACGAAUGGCGUAAUGAUGGCCAGGCUGUCUCCACCCGAGACUCAGUGAAAUUGAACUCGCUGUGAAGAUGCAGUGUACCCGCGGCAAGACGGAAAGACCCCGUGAACCUUUACUAUAGCUUGACACUGAACAUUGAGCCUUGAUGUGUAGGAUAGGUGGGAGGCUUUGAAGUGUGGACGCCAGUCUGCAUGGAGCCGACCUUGAAAUACCACCCUUUAAUGUUUGAUGUUCUAACGUUGGCCCGUAAUCCGGGUUGCGGACAGUGUCUGGUGGGUAGUUUGACUGGGGCGGUCUCCUCCUAAAGAGUAACGGAGGAGCACGAAGGUUGGCUAAUCCUGGUCGGACAUCAGGAGGUUAGUGCAAUGGCAUAAGCCAGCUUGACUGCGAGCGUGACGGCGCGAGCAGGUGCGAAAGCAGGUCAUAGUGAUCCGGUGGUUCUGAAUGGAAGGGCCAUCGCUCAACGGAUAAAAGGUACUCCGGGGAUAACAGGCUGAUACCGCCCAAGAGUUCAUAUCGACGGCGGUGUUUGGCACCUCGAUGUCGGCUCAUCACAUCCUGGGGCUGAAGUAGGUCCCAAGGGUAUGGCUGUUCGCCAUUUAAAGUGGUACGCGAGCUGGGUUUAGAACGUCGUGAGACAGUUCGGUCCCUAUCUGCCGUGG